Molecule: small nucleolar RNA, 96 nt
Filed under: Diaphorina citri (Asian citrus psyllid)
Lineage: Eukaryota; Metazoa; Arthropoda; Insecta; Hemiptera; Psyllidae
Description: small nucleolar RNA R38
Rfam family: Small nucleolar RNA R38
About the family: snoR38 is a C/D box small nucleolar RNA conserved across yeast, human, Arabidopsis and rice. It is encoded in the intron of elongation factor-1 gamma in both pombe and cerevisiae. snoR38 guides the methylation of 2'-O-ribose sites in 28S rRNA.
Source: Rfam by way of RNAcentral
UUAUUCAAAUGAUGAUACAAAUUUUACCAAACAGUUAUCCCUGUCAGACAUGGUAACAAUUCAGUGGUGAAAAAAACUAAUGUAUCUGAUGAACUU